This 486-nucleotide ribosomal RNA is filed under the name uncultured bacterium. RNAcentral's name for it is "partial 16S ribosomal RNA". It matches the Rfam family "Bacterial small subunit ribosomal RNA", at positions 28 to 507 of the family's 1533-position model. The record is from RNAcentral.
GAUGAACGCUGGCGGCGUGCCUAAUACAUGCAAGUCGAACGCUGGAAAUCUAGCUUGCUAGCUUGAAGGAGUGGCGAACGGGUGAGUAAUACAUAAGCAACCUACCCACGAAGACUGGGAUAAUCUCUGGAAACGGGGACUAAUACCGGAUAGGUAAUCGGAAGGCAUCUUCUGAUUAUUAAAGGUUAAAAACACUGGUGGAUGGGCUUAUGGCGCAUUAGUUAGUUGGUGAGGUAACGGCCCACCAAGACGAUGAUGCGUAGCCGGCCUGAGAGGGUGAACGGCCACAUUGGGACUGAGACACGGCCCAGACUCCUACGGGAGGCAGCAGUAGGGAAUUUUCGGCAAUGGGGGAAACCCUGACCGAGCAACGCCGCGUGAGUGAUGACGGCCUUCGGGUUGUAAAGCUCUGUUGUAAGGGAAGAACGGUAGAUAGAGAAUAUCUAAAUGACGGUACCUUACCAGAAAGCCACGGCUAACUACGUG